Molecule: unclassified non-coding RNA, 390 nt
Filed under: soil metagenome
Description: partial contains 5.8S ribosomal RNA, internal transcribed spacer 2, and large subunit ribosomal RNA
Rfam family: 5.8S ribosomal RNA (bases 1-120)
Source: RNAcentral
GAUGAAGAACGUAGUGAAAUGCGAUAAGUAAUGUGAAUUGCAGAAUUCAGUGAAUCAUCGAAUCUUUGAACGCACCUUGCGCUCCUUGGUAUUCCGAGGAGCAUGCCUGUUUGAGUGUCAUUAAAUUCUCAACCUUUCCAGCUUUUGCGAGUUUGGAUUGGCUUGGAUGUGGAGGUUUGCAGGCUUCUCAGAAGUCAGCUCCUCUUAAAUGCAUUAGCGGAACCUUUGUGGACCAGCUUUGGUGUGAUAAUUAUCUAUGCCAUGGUUGUGAAGCAGUUUUUAUAUGGGGUUCAGCUUCUAACAGUCCAUUGACUUGGACAAUUUCUGACAUUUUGACCUCAAAUCAGGUAGGACUACCCGCUGAACUUAAGCAUAUCAAUAACCGGAGGA